AACGAACGCUGGCGGCAUGCCUAACACAUGCAAGUCGAACGAUGGUCUUCGGAUCAUAGUGGCGCACGGGUGCGUAACGCGUGGGAAUCUGCCCUUGGGUUCGGAAUAACAGUUGGAAACGACUGCUAAUACCGGAUGAUGUCGAUAAGACCAAAGAUUUAUCGCCCGAGGAUGAGCCCGCGUCGGAUUAGCUAGUUGGUGGGGUAAAGGCCUACCAAGGCGACGAUCCGUAGCUGGUCUGAGAGGAUGAUCAGCCACACUGGGACUGAGACACGGCCCAGACUCCUACGGGAGGCAGCAGUGGGGAAUAUUGGACAAUGGGCGCAAGCCUGAUCCAGCAAUGCCGCGUGAGUGAUGAAGGCCUUAGGGUUGUAAAGCUCUUUUACCCGGGAAGAUAAUGACUGUACCGGGAGAAUAAGCCCCGGCUAACUCC
This 433-nucleotide ribosomal RNA is filed under the name uncultured bacterium. Its description in RNAcentral is "partial 16S ribosomal RNA". It matches the Rfam family "Bacterial small subunit ribosomal RNA", at positions 29 to 504 of the family's 1533-position model. The record is from RNAcentral.